UCCUACGGGUGGCAGCAGUGAGGAAUAUUGGUCAAUGGGCGCAAGCCUGAACCAGCCAUCCCGCGUGCAGGAAGACGGCGCUAUGCGUUGUAAACUGCUUUUCCAGGGGGAGAAACUUCCGUACGUGUACGGAAUUGACGGUACCCUGGGAAUAAGCAUCGGCUAACUCCGUGCCAGCAGCCGCGGUAAUACGGAGGAUGCAAGCGUUAUCCGGAUUCAUUGGGUUUAAAGGGUGCGUAGGCGGACUAUUAAGUCAGUGGUGAAAUCCUGCAGCUUAACUGCAGAACUGCCAUUGAUACUGAUGGUCUUGAGUUUGGUUAAGGUAGGCGGAAUGUGUAAUGUAGCGGUGAAAUGCUUAGAUAUUACACAGAACACCAAUUGCGUAGGCAGCUUACUGAGCCGACACUGACGCUGAGGCACGAAAGCGUGGGGAUCGAACAGGAUUAGAUACCCUUGUAGUC
Molecule: ribosomal RNA, 461 nt
Filed under: uncultured Bacteroidales bacterium
Lineage: Bacteria; Pseudomonadati; Bacteroidota; Bacteroidia; Bacteroidales
Description: bacterial SSU rRNA
Rfam family: Bacterial small subunit ribosomal RNA
Source: RNAcentral